Molecule: long non-coding RNA, 306 nt
Organism: Homo sapiens (human)
Lineage: Eukaryota; Metazoa; Chordata; Mammalia; Primates; Hominidae
Gene: MELTF-AS1
Product: MELTF antisense RNA 1
Source: Ensembl
UCUGCCGUGGCCCCAGAUCCUCCCCGCGCCGCCGUUUUGAGCGUUCACACUCAUUACCCAGAUAUCUCCCCACAAACCUAAACAAUUUCGAGAGGGACUUGUGUUCUGCAACCAGUCACAGAAUAUCAGGUGAGCUGGGCGUGUCUUCACUGACCCACCCGCCCAGGGAUGCUGCACUCCUCUCCACCCUGCUCAGAAUCACUAGAAUGACCGUUCUGUGGCUACAGCCCUAAAAGAGCUACUAAAAAGACCAGAAGUAGUAUGAGAACUUAUGAAUACGAAUAUAAAUAAAGGACAUCUGGAGAA